UUCUUCUAUUUCUCCAUGGGA
Non-coding RNA from Caenorhabditis elegans, 21 nucleotides. NCBI's taxonomy places the organism in Eukaryota, Metazoa, Nematoda, Chromadorea, Rhabditida, Rhabditidae. The record is from Ensembl.